ACAUGGAGUUGACAUGGCCUUGCAGCGGGAACGGGAACACCAGUACGUGAUCCGCCAUGCUCCCCCUUCUCAGCUCCUUCCGGUUGGAGUGGAAGCAAUAAUGCCUCCUUCCAUCUCCUUGCAUAGAUGGAUGGUUCUCAAAUCAAAAUGGACCUCACAAACUGUGACCAUGGAUGGAUAGCUAACAAUUAGAUCAAAAUAGACCACUGAAUUGCAAUGUUCGCUUUCAUGACAGCGGAGUGGUGGCAGCAUUUGUAUUAAACUUGUACAGGUUCGUAUGAUAGUUAAUAAUUCAAAUUAGAAUUUGGUAUUUGGUAUUCGAGAGAUAGGAGAUUUGAAUUUGGAUUUUAUCCUUUACGAGAUUAAAUGUGAUAUGUUUUAUGGAGAGUCUUG
Molecule: long non-coding RNA, 393 nt
Filed under: Musa acuminata (dwarf banana)
Lineage: Eukaryota; Viridiplantae; Streptophyta; Magnoliopsida; Zingiberales; Musaceae
Description: long non-coding RNA (MACU_LNC011025)
Source: RNAcentral